GAUGAACGCUGGCGGCGUGCCUAAUACAUGCAAGUCGAGCGAACAGACGAGGAGCUUGCUCCUCUGACGUUAGCGGCGGACGGGUGAGUAACACGUGGAUAACCUACCUAUAAGACUGGGAUAACUUCGGGAAACCGGAGCUAAUACCGGAUAAUAUAUUGAACCGCAUGGUUCAAUAGUGAAAGACGGUUUUGCUGUCACUUAUAGAUGGAUCCGCGCCGCAUUAGCUAGUUGGUAAGGUAACGGCUUACCAAGGCAACGAUGCGUAGCCGACCUGAGAGGGGGGGGCGCCCAAACGGGAACGGAGCCCGGCCCAGGACCCCGCCGGGGGGAGCAGGAAGGGAUUUUCCCGCAAGGGGGGAAGCCCGGAGGGUCCACCGCGGCGGGAGUAAUAAAGGUUUCGGUACCUAAAACUUUUUUUAUGGGGAAAAAACAAAUUUGAAAGUAACUAUGCACGUCUGCAGGCUCCAUAAUAGGAAGCCCACGCCAAAUCCGGGC
RNAcentral lists this ribosomal RNA (498 nucleotides) under uncultured bacterium. RNAcentral's name for it is "partial 16S ribosomal RNA". It matches the Rfam family "Bacterial small subunit ribosomal RNA", at positions 28 to 508 of the family's 1533-position model. The record is from RNAcentral.